Molecule: small nucleolar RNA, 140 nt
Organism: Ochotona princeps (American pika)
Lineage: Eukaryota; Metazoa; Chordata; Mammalia; Lagomorpha; Ochotonidae
Gene: SNORA74
Rfam family: Small nucleolar RNA SNORA74
About the family: U19 belongs to the H/ACA class of snoRNAs. snoRNAs bind a number of proteins (including dyskerin, Gar1p and Nop10p in the case of the H/ACA class) to form snoRNP complexes. This class are thought to guide the sites of modification of uridines to pseudouridines by forming direct base pairing interactions with substrate RNAs. Targets may include ribosomal and spliceosomal RNAs but the exact functions of many snoRNAs, including U19, are not confirmed.
Source: Ensembl
CCCAGCUGCGGACAACAAACUAGGCUGCAUUGUACCUAGGCAAGUGUUACACUGCUGGAAGAAAAGCAGCCACUAGCUGGCAGGCAUCCGGGGCCUGGUUGAUGCCAAAUCUGUGUUAACCAUACCAAUGUGCCAACAUA